CCUACGGGAGGCUGCAGUGAGGAAUAUUGGUCAAUGGGCGCGAGCCUGAACCAGCCAAGUAGCGUGAAGGAUGACUGCCCUACGGGUUGUAAACUUCUUUUAUAAAGGAAUAAAGUGAGGCACGUGUGCCUUUUUGUAUGUACUUUAUGAAAAAGGAUCGGCUAACUCCGUGCCAGCAGCCGCGGUAAUACGGAGGAUCCGGGCGUUAUCCGGAUUGAUUGGGUUUAAAGGGAGCGUAGAUGGGUUUUUAAGUCAGUUGUGAAAGUUUGCGGCUCAACCGUAAAAUUGCAAUUGAUACUGGCAGUCUUGAGUACAGUUGAGGUAGGCGGAAUUCGUGGUGUAGCGGUGAAAUGCUUAGAUAUCACGAAGAACCCCGAUUGCGAAGGCAGCUUACUAAACUGUGACUGACAUUGAUGCUCGAAAGUGUGGGUAUCAAACAGGAUUAGAUACCCUUGUAGUC
RNAcentral lists this ribosomal RNA (460 nucleotides) under uncultured bacterium. RNAcentral's name for it is "partial 16S ribosomal RNA". It matches the Rfam family "Bacterial small subunit ribosomal RNA", at positions 338 to 795 of the family's 1533-position model. The record is from RNAcentral.